RNAcentral lists this long non-coding RNA (526 nucleotides) under Marmota monax (woodchuck). The record is from RNAcentral. Lineage: Eukaryota; Metazoa; Chordata; Mammalia; Rodentia; Sciuridae.
GGGGGACGUGCUGGGGAGUGAUAUUGGCCAAAUGAUGUUGUCACAUUGUGUGCAUGUACAAAUGUGUAGCAACAAACCCCAUCAUAGGUACAACUGUAAUGCACCAGUGGGAAAAAUGUGGAAAAGAGGGAGAGAGAGAGAGAGAGAGAGAGAGAGGGAGUGGGAGAGAGGGCCAUUCACUCUUGUGUUGCGAGAGAAGGGCCAAGCCAGGGACUGGAAUGAGUUGAAAAGUAUUGAAGGUAGGAAGUCACACUCGUUUUCUCCUUGUGUAGGGACCUCUGUUCUGGGAGCCGUACCCAGGAAAGGACAGGGAAAACAUAGAUAUUCCAAAGAACUAUUUUAAUUUUUUUAUUUGUUCUUUAUAGAUACACAUGACAGUAGAGUGUAUUUUGACAUAUGCCUACGUGGAGUACAACUUUCCAUUCUGUGGUUGUACAUGAUGUGGAGUUACACCGAUCAUGUAUUCAUAUACGAACAUAAGAAAGUGAUGUCCAACUCAUUCUACUGUCUUUUCUAUUCCCAUCCC